AUUGAACGCUGGCGGAAUGCUUUACACAUGCAAGUCGAACGGCAGCACGGACUUCGGUCUGGUGGCGAGUGGCGAACGGGUGAGUAAUAUAUCGGAACGUGCCCAGUCGUGGGGGAUAACGUAGUGAAAAUUACGCUAAUACCGCAUACGAUCUAAGGAUGAAAGCGGGGGAUCGCAAGACCUCGCGCGAUUGGAGCGGCCGAUAUCAGAUUAGGUAGUUGGUAGGGUAAAGGCCUACCAAGCCAACGAUCUGUAGCUGGUCUGAGAGGACGACCAGCCACACUGGAACUGAGACACGGUCCAGACUCCUACGGGAGGCAGCAGUGGGGAAUUUUGGACAAUGGGCGAAAGCCUGAUCCAGCCAUUCCGCGUGCAGGAUGAAGGCCCUCGGGUUGUAAACUGCUUUUGUACAGAACGAAAAGGUCUCUACUAAUACUAGGGGCUCAUGACGGUACUGUAAGAAUAAGCACCGGCUAACUACGUGCCAGCCGCCGCGGUAA
This 500-nucleotide ribosomal RNA is filed under the name uncultured bacterium. RNAcentral's name for it is "partial 16S ribosomal RNA". It matches the Rfam family "Bacterial small subunit ribosomal RNA", at positions 30 to 523 of the family's 1533-position model. The record is from RNAcentral.